AACGGUCUAUACCUGCGGUACCUGCGGAAGGAUCAUUACCGAGUUAUCAACUCCCAAACCCCUGUGAACAUACCCGAACGUUGCCUCGGCGGGACCGCCCCGGCGCCCCUAGCGGCCCGGAACCAGGCGCCCGCCGGAGGACCCAAACUCUUGCUUUAAACAGUGGCAUACUCUCUGAGUCUCACAAACAAAAAAUAAAUCAAAACUUUCAACAAUGGAUCUCUAGAUCGGAAGAGCAAA
Molecule: unclassified non-coding RNA, 240 nt
Filed under: soil metagenome
Description: partial contains 5.8S ribosomal RNA, internal transcribed spacer 2, and large subunit ribosomal RNA
Source: RNAcentral